UGGCGGCAGGCUUAACACAUGCAAGUCGAGCGGUAGCAGAUCUAGCUUGCUGAUGCUGACGAGCGGCGGACGGGUGAGUAACGCGUAGGAACCUGCCCAGUAGUGGGGGAUAGCCCGGGGAAACUCGGAUUAAUACCGCAUACGCUCUACGGAGGAAAGAGGGGGCUUCGGCUCUCGCUAUUGGAUGGGCCUGCGUGAGAUUAGCUAGUUGGUGAGGUAAUGGCUCACCAAGGCGACGGUCUCUAGCUGGUCUGAGAGGAUGAUCAGCCACACUGGGACUGAGACACGGCCCAGACUCCUACGGGAGGCAGCAGUGGGGAAUAUUGCACAAUGGGCGCAAGCCUGAUGCAGCCAUGCCGCGUGUGUGAAGAAGGCUUUCGGGUUGUAAAGCACUUUCAGUGGGGAGGAAGGCCUCGUAGUUAAUAGCUGCGAGGAUUGACGUUACCCACAGAAGAAGCACCGGCUAACUCCGUG
This 474-nucleotide ribosomal RNA is filed under the name uncultured bacterium. Its description in RNAcentral is "bacterial SSU rRNA". It matches the Rfam family "Bacterial small subunit ribosomal RNA", at positions 37 to 507 of the family's 1533-position model. The record is from RNAcentral.